RNAcentral lists this ribosomal RNA (467 nucleotides) under uncultured bacterium. Its description in RNAcentral is "partial 16S ribosomal RNA". It matches the Rfam family "Bacterial small subunit ribosomal RNA", at positions 28 to 507 of the family's 1533-position model. The record is from RNAcentral.
GAUGAACGCUGGCGGCGCGCCUAACACAUGCAAGUCGAACGAUUAAAGCACCUUCGGGUGUGUAUAAAGUGGCGAACGGCUGAGUAACACGUGGGCAACCUGCCCCUUUCAUUGGGGUAGCCACGGGAGACCGUGGGGAAAACAGAAUACUUCGAGACUUCCGCAUGGAAGGGGCGAGAAAGGUCCGGCGGGGGGGGAUGGGCCCGCGGCCUGUUAGCUUGUUGGUGGGGGAACGGCCUACCAAGGCUAUGAGGGGUAGCUGGGUUGAGAGAGCGACCAGCCAGAUUGGGACUGAGACACGGCCCAGACUCCUACGGGAGGCAGCAGUGGGGAAUCUUGCACAAUGGGCGGAAGCCUGAUGCAGCGACGCCGCGUGCGGGAUGAAGGCCUUCGGGUUGUAAACCGCUUUCAGCAGGGACGAGGCGAAAGUGACGGUACCUGCAGAAGAAGCCCCGGCUAACUACGUG